ACACGGAUACAUACACGAAGCGCUAAUCUCACCAGUGACCAGGCGACUGUUCUUCUUCUCCAAAGAAGAAUAUGAACAAAGCCUCAAUUUAGCCCAAAUCCAAGCGAGUGAGUCUCAAAUCCCUCCUCAUGCGUUCAUGCUUCUCUCCUCAUCACUAUCUCUAACCGUUUCUGAUGUGAUUAUUCUCAUUCCCUUCACUCGCUCGAUUUUGAGAUAAGGCACGUGAUUGGAAGCUUCUGAGACGGAUUUGCUGGAUGAGUGUGAGGCGUUGGAUUGAUUUCAUUCAAUCCAAGCCCCACAUUCAUCAGGAAUUCAUUCUAAAAAGGUAUUUUGAAUGGAUUUCGGAGGGGUCGGUUUUUUAGAGGGAUAUUUUGGGAGAGAGGAUUUUGGAGAAAGGUCUGUAGUUUUGUUUUUUUUUUUCGAAAAUAUGGGUUGGAGAGAUAGCCUUAUUCUUCUCAUCGUUUGCCUUCAUUCUUAGUUGAACUCGAGAAAAAGAAAAAAAAUAUAGAAAAAUGUUCAUUGUUCAGUGAUUUAAGGGUUGUUUGGUAUUGUUUACAAGCUUCAAAACAUAUGAAUUUCGUCUUUUCUUUCAGUCUGAAUUUGUAAAAAACGAAGUUCGAUUGAGAGAUAGGUGAACUCGUUAUUGCUCAAGGCGUCGAUUCGUAGCUGUAGUUGCUCUGUGUUGAUUUCAGUAUUAAGACUAGUCUGAUUUUCGUCCCAGGUUUUAUUCUGCUUUUCCUCUUAUUUUGUUGUGAAGUGAGCCAUGGAUGGACUAUAAAACAAUUUUAGUUAAAACAAUAGAUGAGGCUUGUAUGGUUAUCUGUGAUUUCAUUUACUGUUCUGCUCUACUUUAUGAUUGUCACAUGAAUCUGAAUCAGUAGUGUAUAUCCUCAUGGUUUUCCACUUGGUUAUCUGAUUCUCUAAUAGGAAUGAUUUCUGGUAAUCGUUCUGUUCUCUUCUUUUGAACAAGCAUAGCAGCUUGUGCUUGGAUUUUGCUGUUAUUGAAGCGUGAACACAUGACCCUAGGAAGGUUAGAAUGGCUGCUAUAUUGACAUCGCACUUAGUGUUUAACCUUUGUUCUGAUAUGUUUAUUGGGAGUUGAAUUAGUGUCUUUGUUUAGGAGAUUUGAGAACAUUCGUUUGUCUAUCAAUUUGUUAACCAAAUCUGUGUUGAAAGUGAGACAUGUGUAGUUUUUUUGAUAGCUCACGGCUGGAAUUAAACUGUCGUGUGGUUGCCAAAUGAAUGGCGAGUCGAUAAGCUGCUCAUUUAUGCUUUCCCUGACUAUGCUAUUUUGGUUCCAUCAAGCUCGAGUUUGUCAUUGUUCUGUUAUUGUUCUUCCCGUGCUCAAUGAGCCUGCUUUCUGGACAGAUUUGACAUUUUCUUUAGCUCAUUGUAAGAUCUUAACAAGCAACCUGUGAUUCGUCCUCUUGCCAGCAUGUGUAUCAGUUAACGAGGAGAAAAGAAUUUGUUUGGAAAUAUUAGAACUAGCAAUGAGAGCCUCCCGUGUAGUCCAGUCCAAAGAAGAAAAUUAUCUCGAUGACAUUUCUAAAUUCUAAGUUUCUGCUCUCUUUCUUUAAGUGCAAAAGGUUUUCCAUAAGUUGAUCAAACUAAGUGUAUAAAAGGUUGUAUGACAGGUCUUCUGCUCCUAGCACUAGAUUAUGGAGCUUCUUGUUCUAGUUACUCUUUGAUUGUUAUGAUCAGAAUUGUCAAAAGCUCUUGCAGAGAGCUAACUUUCUCAUAGAGUAACUUCAUGUGUUCUUUGUGGCGCUCCCGUGGCUCAAAGUUGGAUUGUAAAAUAGGUGUAAUAUGCUUUAGCUACUGAUGGCUCGAUUAAUAGUGAUUCUGCCUCAUUCUUAGAUUGAAACUGUAAUACUUUUAGCUUCCCAGUAGCUGGAAGCUGAUGCUAUUUUCAAACGAGAGGUCUCUGUGAAGUGUUAGGAUCAUUUUGACUAUGUCCGCUCCAAGGCAGAUUUUGCGCGCGCUAAUUUGAAAUCCACGAGUCAAGCUUCUAAUUAACCUUAAGUGUUUGUUGUUGUGAUUAACAUUCCUGCUAGGCGUGUCUAUCUGUGCAAUGGUUCAUGUGCAUCAGCUAUUUUUGUUUUUUUGU
This 2107-nucleotide long non-coding RNA is filed under the name Nicotiana benthamiana. Its description in RNAcentral is "long non-coding RNA (NBEN_LNC010381)". The stretch from base 246 to 316 matches the Rfam family "MIR6151 microRNA precursor family". Lineage: Eukaryota; Viridiplantae; Streptophyta; Magnoliopsida; Solanales; Solanaceae. The record is from RNAcentral.